ACAAGGUUUCCGUAGGUGAACCUGCGGAAGGAUCAUUACCGAGUGCUACGAGCGAGAGCUCGUUACCUCCCACCCUUUGUGAACAUACCUCUGUUGCUUUGGCGGCUCUCGCCGCGAGGGGAGGCCCUGAAAAGGGCCCGCCCCCCUCGCGCGCCCUCCGCCAGAGGACCUUCAAACUCCAGUCAGUAAACGUCGACGUCUGAUACACAAGUUAAUAAACUAAAACUUUCAACAACGGAUCUCUUGGUUCUGGCAUCGAUGAAGAACGCAGCGAAAUGCGAUAAGUAAUGUGAAUUGCAGAAUUCAGUGAAUCAUCGAAUCUUUGAACGCACAUUGCGCCCCUUGGCAUUCCGAGGGGCAUGCCUGUUCGAGCGUCAUUACAACCCUCAAGCUCUGCUUGGUAUUGGGCGCCGUCCUCUCUGCGGACGCGCCUCAAAGACCUCGGCGGUGGCUGUCCAGCCCUCAAGCGUAGUAGAAUACACCUCGCUUUGGAGCGGCUGGCGUCGCCCGCCGGACGAACCUUCUGAACUUUUCUCAAGGUUGACCUCGGAUCAGGUAGGGAUACCCGCUGAACUUAAGCAUAUCA
RNAcentral lists this ribosomal RNA (586 nucleotides) under Diplodia corticola. RNAcentral describes it as "eukaryotic LSU rRNA". The stretch from base 224 to 377 matches the Rfam family "5.8S ribosomal RNA". The record is from RNAcentral. Lineage: Eukaryota; Fungi; Ascomycota; Dothideomycetes; Botryosphaeriales; Botryosphaeriaceae.